Molecule: transfer RNA, 71 nt
Filed under: Camelus bactrianus (Bactrian camel)
Lineage: Eukaryota; Metazoa; Chordata; Mammalia; Artiodactyla; Camelidae
Also listed under: 2 other names
Rfam family: tRNA
About the family: Transfer RNA (tRNA) molecules are approximately 80 nucleotides in length. Their secondary structure includes four short double-helical elements and three loops (D, anti-codon, and T loops).
Source: Rfam by way of RNAcentral
GGGUAUAGCUCAAGCGGUAGAGCACAUGCUUAGCAUGCACGAGGUCCUGGGUUCAAUUCCCAGUAUGUCCA